UCCUUAUUUUAUAAUUCAUUUCCGAUUAUUCCUGUUAUCUCCAUAAUUUUUUCCAUAACGAAACAACAUCAUGCACAUGCAUACGGACUAAUUUCCAAUUUUUAUACAAUUUUUCAUUAGUCUUAUUUCUAUUUUAUUUUUUAAAUGUAUCCUUUUUCCACUUUCUACGAGUAUUUAUAUUUCAGAAUACAAUAAUUAUAAGAAUUCACCCAAAAUUAAUGCUCCAAUAUUUACUAGCAGUUAUUAUUUUUAGUUAUAAAAUUUUUAAUGAUGCCAUGCAUUCCAGCGUGAGAUUUAAUUGUUAAUUAAUUAAAAGAAAAUUAGCCAUUGAAUUACAGAAGAAAAUUAACCUUUAUAAUUUUGCAGUCCUGUCGCAGCAGCAGCCACUAAGCAUUCCGCUAGAAAUAUAAUUCUACAUUAUUUUCUACGGGCUAAAUAUAAAUUACAAAUCCAGACUCACCAAGUUGAAAUUAUCCUGAUAAUUAUUUAAUCCCUCAAGGAAAAUAACGGAUUAUUUCCAAAUAUUCAAAGAUUUAACAGCAGCACCACUUCCGUCGUCAGAACUGGAUGGAAUCGCUUGCAAAUUUUGCUCAAAAACAUGAAUGAUGGGCAAAACUCGGCGAUCAGUGGAAAAUAUCGCACGCUGAUAAGCGCGUCAGAACACGCACGCCUGGACAAAGGCCAGCUGGGACUCCGCCUCCUCCGCCGCGCAAUUGGCUACCGCACAAUCAGGAAAUUUCUCGUACUCGAUGCAGCGGGAUAUUCCGCGCCGGCGAUUGGUCACUUGGCCGCGAUUAGCGCCGUGCACGUACAAAAAUAGCCAACGCUGUUCAACUUUUAAAAUGUUACGUCGUGCGAUCUUAUCAAGUGGCGUAGAAACAAUAUUAUCAGAUCUAUCAGACGGGUUGAUUAUGCCUGAAUCAGCACUUUAAGAAUGCUUGACGGGUUUAUCAAUUAUUAUUCGAUGCGCCGACCUUUGUACAAGUUGGACUCGCGUACACUUGUCAUGACGGAGCGGAAACAAACACACCGAUUACUGCGGAUAUCAGUGUAGCGUGGAAGGCGGCUUAAUUCAUUUGGAAAAAUAUUUAUUCAGCUCAUUCUUCGUAAAUCGAAUCUAAAAGGACGGAAGUUUUCAGGUUUACUCGAGAAGGACACCGCUGAGGCGUUGACAGUAAAUAUAUUUAGUUCUGAUGAAUAUUUCCCACGAUUUAUUGUUGUUGAAUUUCUUUUGCCGGACAUGCACUAGGACUAGGUUAAAGAGCGCUGCUACGAAGGUGUGGCUGUCUGGGAAAUCCGGGAAAGUACAUACAGUACACAACAUCGUGCUGGUACUUAAUAUUAUGGGUGGCGGUGUAAAUCCAACCUUUAAUAUGCCGGCUAAAAUUACUGUUAUAAAAACGCGGCGCAUGCACUGCUGUGAAAUACAGUGGUUGUCAAGCCGGCUGAAUAAAAUCAAGUAUACCGUAUACGUACGAAUAAUAUAGAGGCCAAUACGAGUGUCGUAUUAAUUUAAUUAAUUCUAAGGAUUUAAUUCGUACUCGACGAAUCUCUGGUGCACCGGAAACGGAAUGUAUCUGUUUGUCCACAGAAUUAGCA
Paramacrobiotus metropolitanus is the source of this 1599-nucleotide long non-coding RNA. RefSeq lists it as uncharacterized. The record is from RefSeq and is a predicted model, not a curated record. NCBI's taxonomy places the organism in Eukaryota, Metazoa, Tardigrada, Eutardigrada, Parachela, Macrobiotidae. The transcript is spliced from 3 exons.